AGUGGCGGACGGGUGCGUAACGCGUAGGAAUCUGCCUAUUAGUGGGGGACAACUUAGGGAAACUUAAGCUAAUACCGCAUACGCCCUACGGGGGAAAGGAGGGGACCUUCGGGCCUUUCGCUAAUAGAUGAGCCUGCGUUGGAUUAGCUAGUUGGUGGGGUAAAGGCCUACCAAGGCGACGAUCCAUAGCUGGUCUGAGAGGACGAUCAGCCACACUGGGACUGAGACACGGCCCAGACUCCUACGGGAGGCAGCAGUGGGGAAUAUUGGACAAUGGGCGAAAGCCUGAUCCAGCAAUACCGCGUGUGUGAAGAAGGCCUUAGGGUUGUAAAGCACUUUCAAUUGGAAGGAAAAACUCAUGGCCAAUACCCAUGAGCUUGACAUUACCUUUAGAAGGAGCACCGGCUAAC
RNAcentral lists this ribosomal RNA (410 nucleotides) under uncultured bacterium. RNAcentral's name for it is "bacterial SSU rRNA". It matches the Rfam family "Bacterial small subunit ribosomal RNA", at positions 94 to 501 of the family's 1533-position model. The record is from RNAcentral.